RNAcentral lists this ribosomal RNA (492 nucleotides) under uncultured bacterium. RNAcentral describes it as "partial 16S ribosomal RNA". It matches the Rfam family "Bacterial small subunit ribosomal RNA", at positions 28 to 507 of the family's 1533-position model. The record is from RNAcentral.
GGUGAACGCUGGCGGUAGGCCUAACACAUGCAAGUCGAACGGCAGCACAGUACAGCUUGCUGCUUAGGUGUGGCGUGGGGGGGGCGGGUGAGAAAUCCAUGGAACUCCACUUUUUCGGGGGGGAACUCGUAGGAAAAGUAACGCAAAUACCAUAUCCUACCAAGGGGAAAAAGCAGGGGAUUUUGGCCCCUUGCCCUCUGAAGUGACCCGAUGUGGGAUUAGCUAGUUGGCGGGGUAAAGGCCCACCAAGGCGACGAUCCGUAGCUGGUCUGAGAGGAUGAUCAGCCACACUGGAACUGAGACACGGUCCAGACUCCUACGGGAGGCAGCAGUGGGGAAUAUUGGACAAUGGGCGCAAGCCUGAUCCAGCCAUACCGCGUGGGUGAAGAAGGCCUUCGGGUUGUAAAGCCCUUUUGUUGGGAAAGAAAAGCAGCAGGUUAAUACCCCGCUGUUCUGACGGUACCCAAAGAAUAAGCACCGGCUAACUUCGUG